GCCGGCUUGGCGCAAUUGGUAGCGCACCUGUCUUGUAAACAGGGGGUUGCAGGUUCAAGUCCUGUAGCCGGCACCG
This 76-nucleotide transfer RNA is filed under the name Microbacterium sp. SCN 70-200. Its description in RNAcentral is "tRNA-Thr". It matches the Rfam family "tRNA". Rfam says of the family: Transfer RNA (tRNA) molecules are approximately 80 nucleotides in length. Their secondary structure includes four short double-helical elements and three loops (D, anti-codon, and T loops). Further hydrogen bonds mediate the characteristic L-shaped molecular structure. tRNAs have two regions of fundamental functional importance: the anti-codon, which is responsible for specific mRNA codon recognition, and the 3' end, to which the tRNAs corresponding amino acid is attached (by aminoacyl-tRNA synthetases). tRNAs cope with the degeneracy of the genetic code in two manners: having more than one tRNA (with a specific anti-codon) for a particular amino acid; and 'wobble' base-pairing, i.e. permitting non-standard base-pairing at the 3rd anti-codon position. Lineage: Bacteria; Bacillati; Actinomycetota; Actinomycetes; Micrococcales; Microbacteriaceae. The record is from RNAcentral. RNAcentral also lists the same sequence under 1 other name.